AGGCAAGCCCGCGAAAACUGUCGGACCAGUUUUGUAAACCGAAGGUCGGGGGUUCAAUCCCCUCAGCCGGCACCA
Molecule: transfer RNA, 75 nt
Filed under: Bradyrhizobium japonicum
Lineage: Bacteria; Pseudomonadati; Pseudomonadota; Alphaproteobacteria; Hyphomicrobiales; Nitrobacteraceae
Also listed under: 1 other name
Description: tRNA-Thr
Source: RNAcentral